RNAcentral lists this ribosomal RNA (450 nucleotides) under uncultured bacterium. RNAcentral describes it as "bacterial SSU rRNA". It matches the Rfam family "Bacterial small subunit ribosomal RNA", at positions 328 to 792 of the family's 1533-position model. The record is from RNAcentral.
UCGCCAGACUCCUACGGGAGGCAGCAGUGGGGGAUAUUGCGCAAUGGGGGAAACCCUGACGCAGCAACGCCGCGUGAAGGAAGAAGGCCUUCGGGUUGUAAACUUUUGUCGCAAGGGAAGAAGACAGUGACGGUACCUUGUGAGGAAGCCACGGCUAACUACGUGCCAGCAGCCGCGGUAAUACGUAGGUGGCGAGCGUUGUCCGGAUUUACUGGGUGUAAAGGGCGCGUAGGCGGAUCAGCAAGUCAGUCGUGAAAUACCGGGGCUCAACCCCGGGGCUGCGAUUGAAACUGUUGACCUUGAGUGUCGGAGAGGAAAGCGGAAUUCCUAGUGUAGCGGUGAAAUGCGUAGAUAUUAGGAGGAACACCAGUGGCGAAGGCGGCUUUCUGGACGAUAACUGACGCUGAGGCGCGAAAGUGUGGGGAGCAAACAGGAUUAGAUACCCGUGUA